GACGAACGCUGGCGGCGUGCUUAACACAUGCAAGUCGAACGGAAGGGCGAUGCGCUUGUGGGGUGCUCGAGUGGCGAACGGGGGAGUAACACGUGAGUAACCUGCCCCUGACUGUGGGGGAUCUUCAGGAAAAAGGGGAUAAUACAGGGGAGGAGAUCUUGCAGCACGGUGGGGGUUGGAAAGAGUCGGCGGUGGGGGAUGGACUCGCGGGUUAUCAGCUUGUUGGGGGGGUAGUGGCGUACCAAGGCUUUGACGGGUAGCCCGCCUGGGAGGGUGACCGGCCACAUUGGUCCUGCGGUACGGCCCAGACGCCUACCGGCGGCAGCAGUGGGGAACAUUGCGCAGUGGCCGGACGCCUGUUGCAGCAGCGCCGCGUGCGUGAUGACGGCCUUCGGGUUGUAAACCGCUUUCUCCUGUGCCGAACCGUGCGUGACGGUACUGGGUAAAGAAGCACCGGCUAACUACGUG
This 468-nucleotide ribosomal RNA is filed under the name uncultured bacterium. Its description in RNAcentral is "partial 16S ribosomal RNA". It matches the Rfam family "Bacterial small subunit ribosomal RNA", at positions 28 to 507 of the family's 1533-position model. The record is from RNAcentral.